Molecule: ribosomal RNA, 388 nt
Filed under: Pristimantis zeuctotylus (Sipaliwini robber frog)
Lineage: Eukaryota; Metazoa; Chordata; Amphibia; Anura; Strabomantidae
Description: partial large subunit ribosomal RNA
Rfam family: Bacterial large subunit ribosomal RNA
Source: RNAcentral
CUUGAUAACAUAAGAGGUCCAGCCUGCCCAGUGACUCAAUUCAACGGCCGCGGUAUCCUAACCGUGCAAAGGUAGCGUAAUCACUUGUCUUCUAAAUAAAGACUAGUAUGAAAGGCACCACGAGAACUAAACUGUCUCCUUUUUCUAAUCAGUGAACCUAAUCUCCCUGUGAAAAAGCAGGGAUUUAAUAAUAAGACGAGAAGACCCUAUGGAGCUUUAAACACAUAACACUGCCCUUCUACACCACAAUGUUCCAUGCACAAUGAUUAAGAGUUUUUAGUUGGGGUGACUACGGAGUAAACCCACCCUCCGCGAUGAAUCUUAAACAAGCGACAGCUUUAUACAUCAGCAAACUGACACCAUUGACCCAAUUUAUUGAUCAACGAAC